This 140-nucleotide ribosomal RNA is filed under the name uncultured bacterium. RNAcentral's name for it is "partial 16S ribosomal RNA". The record is from RNAcentral.
CACGUAGUUGGCCGGUGCUUCUUCCCCUCGUACCGUCACUUGCGCUUCGUCCGAGGUGAAAGAGGUUUACAACCCGAAGGCCGUCAUCCCUCACGCGGCGUUGCUGGAUCAGGCUUCCGCCCAUUGUCCAAUAUUCCCCA